RNAcentral lists this unclassified non-coding RNA (209 nucleotides) under plant metagenome. RNAcentral's name for it is "partial contains small subunit ribosomal RNA, internal transcribed spacer 1, and 5.8S ribosomal RNA". The record is from RNAcentral.
CGUAGGUGAACCUGCGGAAGGAUCAUUCAUAAUAAGUGUUUUAUGGCACUUUUUUAAAUCCAUAUCCACCUUGUGUGCAAUGUCAGGGUCGAUUUUUCUCUCGAGAGGAUCAGCCCCAAACAUCAACUAUAUCUCAACUCUUUGUCUGAAAAAUAUUAUGAAUAAAACAAUUCAAAACACAACUUUCAACAACGGAUCUCUUGGCUCUC